Molecule: ribosomal RNA, 459 nt
Filed under: uncultured bacterium
Lineage: Bacteria
Description: partial 16S ribosomal RNA
Rfam family: Bacterial small subunit ribosomal RNA
Source: RNAcentral
CCUACGGGUGGCAGCAGUGAGGAAUAUUGGUCAAUGGCCGGAAGGCUGAACCAGCCAAGCCGCGUGAAGGACGAAGGUGCCAAGCAUUGUAAACUUCUGUUGUCAGGGGACAAAAUCAGGCUCGAGAGCCUGACCGAGGGUACUUGAAGAAAAAGCAUCGGCUAACUACGUGCCAGCAGCCGCGGUAAUACGGAGGAUGCGAGCGUUAUCCGGAUUUAUUGGGUGUAAAGGGUGCGUAGGCGGGCGGUUAAGUCAGCGGUAAAAGCCCGGGGCUCAACCCCGGCGAGCCGUUGAAACUGGCGGUCUUGAGAUGUCGAGAGGUAUGCGGAAUGCGCAGUGUAGCGGUGAAAUGCUUAGAUAUUGCGAAGAACUCCGAUUGCGAAGGCAGCAUACCGGCGGCGAUCUGACGCUGAGGCACGAAAGCGUGGGUAUCGAACAGGAUUAGAUACCCCAGUAGUC